UACGUAGGGGCCUAGCGUUGUCCGGAUUUAUUGGGCGUAAAGAGCGCGUAGGCGGCCUGACAGGUCUGCUGUGAAAACUCGAGGCUCAACCUCGAGAUGUCGGCGGAAACCGUCUGGCUAGAGUCCGGAAGAGGAGAGUGGAAUUCCUGGUGUAGCGGUGAAAUGCGCAGAUAUCAGGAAGAACACCUAUGGCGAAGGCAGCUCUCUGGGACGGUACUGACGCUGAGACGCGAAAGCGUGGGGAGCGAACAGG
Molecule: ribosomal RNA, 253 nt
Filed under: uncultured bacterium
Lineage: Bacteria
Description: partial 16S ribosomal RNA
Rfam family: Bacterial small subunit ribosomal RNA
Source: RNAcentral